Molecule: long non-coding RNA, 832 nt
Organism: Saccostrea cuccullata (small rock oyster)
Lineage: Eukaryota; Metazoa; Mollusca; Bivalvia; Ostreida; Ostreidae
Exons: 3
Source: RefSeq, a predicted model, not a curated record
AGAGCACCAAAGACCCAGAUUUUGACAUCAUUUCCUGGUUGAACAAGAUGAAGCAGAGUAAUAAAUGGGUAGGCUUUACCUGAUUGGCUGAAUUGAGGUAUGUAAAUAUUUUCAUUUUAAAGUAAAAAUAUUAAUGUUUGAAAUAAAUGAUGGAAUGUGGGAAUAUUACAAAAAUUCUAGAAAUACCAGGGGAGAUUGUAGGAGUGGGGAUUGAUAUUUUUGGCAGGGUGUCAUUUACUGCCGAUCUCUGUAAGUUCUAAAUAACUGCAAAUUUGACCUAUAAACGCCGCGGAACGGUAUAUUUUUUUUCGUGUUUUUAAUAAGUGCUUAGAACGAACUUUCAAAUAAUACCAGUGAUUUGUUUGAACGGGAAUUAGUAAAUUACUUGGAGGGCAAAAGCUUCCUGGACCCGGGAGAGCUUGGUAUCUGAUCGGCGGGGGGCAUUUUCUCUAUAUAAGAAGAAGAUGGAGACUCGCUACCCACCCGAUAUAUUUUGUCGGACAAAUUUCUGUACAUUGCAGUGACAACUGUAUCCAGAUUUCAUCACAGGAAUGAAAGUUUUUCACUCUUUGGAAAAGCACCUGCAGCAGGGAGGGGACAUUCAUUAAGAUGGCCACAGAUUCCAAGACACUGAAGUGACAGGCCUCAAAUUUCAUACAUGUAUAUUGGUAAGUAUAAGGUCUUUGAAAAUUACAAAAUUGACUAAUUCUGGGAUAGGUAAAUAUGUAAGUAUAGGAAAAAGAGCACCAAAGACCCAGAUUUUGACAUCAUUUCCUGGUUGAACAAGAUGAAGCAGAGUAAUAAAUGGGUAGGCUUUACCUGAUUGGCUGAA